This 555-nucleotide ribosomal RNA is filed under the name Alternaria brassicae. RNAcentral describes it as "eukaryotic LSU rRNA". The stretch from base 176 to 329 matches the Rfam family "5.8S ribosomal RNA". The record is from RNAcentral. Lineage: Eukaryota; Fungi; Ascomycota; Dothideomycetes; Pleosporales; Pleosporaceae.
GAGUAUCAUUACGCGGAGGAGGAGCGGGCUGGAACCUCUCGGGGUUACAGCCUUGCUGAAUUAUUCACCCUUGUCUUUUGCGUACUUCUUGUUUCCUUGGUGGGUUCGCCCACCACUAGGACAAACAUAAACCUUUUGUAAUUGCAAUCAGCGUCAGUAACAAAUUAAUAAUUACAACUUUCAACAACGGAUCUCUUGGUUCUGGCAUCGAUGAAGAACGCAGCGAAAUGCGAUAAGUAGUGUGAAUUGCAGAAUUCAGUGAAUCAUCGAAUCUUUGAACGCACAUUGCGCCCUUUGGUAUUCCAAAGGGCAUGCCUGUUCGAGCGUCAUUUGUACCCUCAAGCUUUGCUUGGUGUUGGGCGUCUUGUCUCUAGCUUUGCUGGAGACUCGCCUUAAAGUAAUUGGCAGCCGGCCUACUGGUUUCGGAGCGCAGCACAAGUCGCACUCUCUAUCAGCAAAGGUCUAGCAUCCAUUAAGCCUUUUUUUCAACUUUUGACCUCGGAUCAGGUAGGGAUACCCGCUGAACAUAAGCAUAUCAAUAAGCGGGAGGGAGAA